UAGUCCACGCCGUAAACGAUGGUCACUAGCUGUUCGGACUUCGGUCUGAGUGGCUAAGCGAAAGUGAUAAGUGACCCACCUGGGGAGUACGUUCGCAAGAAUGAAACUCGAAGGAAUUGACGGGGGCCCGCGCAAGCGGUGGAGCAUGUGGUUUAAUUCGAUGAUACGCGAGGAACCUUACCAGGGCUUAAAUGUAAGUUGCAUUAGUUAGAGAUAGCUAUUUCUUCGGACUACUUACAAGGUGCUGCAUGGUUGUCGUCAGCUCGUGCCGUGAGGUGUCAGGUUAAGUCCUAUAACGAGCGCAACCCCUAUCGUUAGUUGCUAACAGGUUAAGCUGAGGACUCUAGCGAGACUGCCGGUGCAAACCGAGAGGAAGGUGGGGAUGACGUCAAAUCAUCAUGGCCCUUAUGGCCUGGGCUACACACGUGCUACAAUGGUGGAUACAAAGGGUUGCCAACCCGCGAAGGGGAGCUAAUCUCAGAAAAUCCAUCUCAGUCCGGAUUGG
This 505-nucleotide ribosomal RNA is filed under the name uncultured bacterium. RNAcentral describes it as "bacterial SSU rRNA". It matches the Rfam family "Bacterial small subunit ribosomal RNA", at positions 791 to 1301 of the family's 1533-position model. The record is from RNAcentral.